ACAUCCGGACAAUCGCUGCCUUAGGGUAGAGGAAAGUCCAUGCUCGCACCAUCUGAGAUGAUGGUAGUGAUUGUGCUAAACGAAACCAUAAGUUUAGGCAGAGACAUCUGACGGCUGGCGAUACUUCUAAGUGGAAACAUAUGAAGGUAGCCUUUAAAAGUGCCACAGUGACGUAGUCCUAGAAGAAAUUUUAGGAGUGGAACGGGUAAACCCCACAAGCGAGAAACCCAAAUUUGGUAGGGGC
RNAcentral lists this RNase P RNA (244 nucleotides) under Erysipelotrichia bacterium. RNAcentral describes it as "Bacterial RNase P class B". It matches the Rfam family "Bacterial RNase P class B", at positions 1 to 257 of the family's 365-position model. From Rfam's summary of the family: Ribonuclease P (RNase P) is a ubiquitous endoribonuclease, found in archaea, bacteria and eukarya as well as chloroplasts and mitochondria. Lineage: Bacteria; Bacillati; Bacillota; Erysipelotrichia. The record is from Rfam by way of RNAcentral.